GCAGCAGUUAGGAAUCUUCCGCAAUGGACGGAAGUCUGACGGAGCGACGCCGCUUGGAGGAGGAAGCCCUUCGGGGUGUAAACUCCUGAACUGGGGACGAAAGCCCCGUGUAGGGGGAUGACGGUACCCAGGUAAUAGCGCCGGCCAACUCCGUGCCAGCAGCCGCGGUAAUACGGAGGGCGCGAGCGUUACCCGGAUUUACUGGGCGUAAAGGGCGUGUAGGCGGCCUGGGGCGUCCCAUGUGAAAGGCCACGGCUCAACCGUGGAGGAGCGUGGGAUACGCUCAGGCUAGAGGGUGGGAGAGGGUGGUGGAAUUCCCGGAGUAGCGGUGAAAUGCGCAGAUACCGGGAGGAACGCCGAUGGCGAAGGCAGCCACCUGGUCCACUUCUGACGCUGAGGCGCGAAAGCGUGGGGAGCAAACCGGAUUAGAUACCCGGGUAGUCCACGCCCUAAACGAUGCGCGCUAGGUCUUUGGGGUUUACCUGGGGGCCGAAGCCAACGCGU
This 504-nucleotide ribosomal RNA is filed under the name uncultured bacterium. RNAcentral describes it as "bacterial SSU rRNA". It matches the Rfam family "Bacterial small subunit ribosomal RNA", at positions 348 to 860 of the family's 1533-position model. The record is from RNAcentral.